This 495-nucleotide ribosomal RNA is filed under the name uncultured bacterium. RNAcentral describes it as "partial 16S ribosomal RNA". It matches the Rfam family "Bacterial small subunit ribosomal RNA", at positions 28 to 523 of the family's 1533-position model. The record is from RNAcentral.
GAUGAACGCUGGCGGCGUGCUUAACACAUGCAAGUCGAACGAAGCACUUUGGACAGAAUCUUCGGAUGAAGUCCUUAGUGACUGAGUGGCGGACGGGUGAGUAACGCGUGGGUAACCUGCCUCAUACAGGGGGAUAACAGUUAGAAAUGGCUGCUAAUACCGCAUAAGCGCACGGUACUGCAUGGUACAGUGUGAAAAACUCCGGUGGUAUGAGAUGGACCCGCGUUGGAUUAGCUAGUUGGCAGGGUAACGGCCUACCAAGGCGACGAUCCAUAGCCGGCCUGAGAGGGUGGACGGCCACAUUGGGACUGAGACACGGCCCAGACUCCUACGGGAGGCAGCAGUGGGGAAUAUUGCACAAUGGGGGAAACCCUGAUGCAGCGACGCCGCGUGAGCGAAGAAGUAUUUCGGUAUGUAAAGCUCUAUCAGCAGGGAAGAAAAUGACGGUACCUGACUAAGAAGCCCCGGCUAACUACGUGCCAGCCGCCGCCGUAA